RNAcentral lists this unclassified non-coding RNA (835 nucleotides) under Hevea brasiliensis (rubber tree). Lineage: Eukaryota; Viridiplantae; Streptophyta; Magnoliopsida; Malpighiales; Euphorbiaceae. The record is from RNAcentral.
AAAACUUGAUCAUAGAAGUUCAUGGUGGUUUGAUGCUAAGGUGUGGCUUAAUUGAAAGUGGAGAGGGAAGGGAAUUUUUGAUAUAUAGGGAAAAUGGGGACAAAACUCAAAAAGAGCAUUAUUCAAAUCCUUGACAAAAAAGAGGUUGUAUAUUAUGUGCAGGCAUUGCUUCGAGAAGUUAUCCAACAAAGUCUUACCUUUUUAGCUAGAAAAUUUAAGUGGACCUGAGAAUUAAUUUUCUUAUAUUAUUUUCUUUGCUCCUUUCUGUCUCAAUUUUAAACCAAAUAAGAACAAAAGUCAAGAAAAUCUAAAUUUUCGCUUCUCUUUAUUGCCUAAUGAAUAGAGGUUGAUUAUAACUUUGGUGCGCUUGAGGAAGCAUUUUUUAUUGUAGUGGGUGUUAUCUAAGGUGGGGUUGAGCUCUAUUUAUUUGAAACAAAGACAAUUAACUGAACUAACACAUUUUUUUAUUUUUAUUUAGAUUCAGUUUUCAUGGUAAAAAAAUUGAAAUAAUCAAACAAAACCUAAUUAUAUAUUUAUACAAAUAUUAUAUGAAAAUGUAUUUCUUUAUAUAAUGUGAUUAAAAACUAGUGAAUCAAACCAAACUGAACCAAAUUAGUAUGCUUUUGAUUUGGUCACUUGAUUACAAACAUUUUGGUUAUUUCUUUUGUGCUUAGUUUCAAAUUGAAUCAAACAAUACUUACUCCUAGUCUAAGGCAUCCUGAGAACAAUUGUUGCAACUGCUUGUUUGAUCUAGUGAUUAGUAAAAUAGAUUUAGCAAUGUACGAAACAAAAGCUUCUUGAUCUAGUAAAAUAGUGGUUCAACAAUGUCAUUUAU